AUUGAACGCUGGCGGCAGGCCUAACACAUGCAAGUCGAGCGGAUGAAGGGAGCUUGCUCCUGGAUUCAGCGGCGGACGGGUGAGUAAUGCCUAGGAAUCUGCCUGGUAGUGGGGGAUAACGUCCGGAAACGGGCGCUAAUACCGCAUACGUCCUGAGGGAGAAAGUGGGGGAUCUUCGGACCUCACGCUAUCAGAUGUGCCUAGGUCGGAUUAGCUAGUUGGUGGGGUAAAGGCCUACCAAGGCGACGAUCCGUAACUGGUCUGAGAGGAUGAUCAGUCACACUGGAACUGAGAAACGGUCCAGACUCCUACGGGAGGCAGCAGUGGGGAAUAUUGGACAAUGGGCGAAAGCCUGAUCCAGCCAUGCCGCGUGUGUGAAGAAGGUCUUCGGAUUGUAAAGCACUUUAAGUUGGGAGGAAGGGCAGUAAGUUAAUACCUUGCUGUUUUGACGUUACCAACAGAAUAAGCACCGGCUAACUUCGUG
RNAcentral lists this ribosomal RNA (484 nucleotides) under uncultured bacterium. Its description in RNAcentral is "partial 16S ribosomal RNA". It matches the Rfam family "Bacterial small subunit ribosomal RNA", at positions 30 to 507 of the family's 1533-position model. The record is from RNAcentral.